GGGGCUAUACUGCAGUCGAACGCUUCUUUCCUCCCGAGUGCUUGCACUCAAUUGGAAAGAGGAGUGGCGGACGGGUGAGUAACACGUGGGUAACCUACCCAUCAGAGGGGGAUAACACUUGGAAACAGGUGCUAAUACCGCAUAACAGUUUAUGCCGCAUGGCAUAAGAGUGAAAGGCGCUUUCGGGUGUCGCUGAUGGAUGGACCCGCGGUGCAUUAGCUAGUUGGUGAGGUAACGGCUCACCAAGGCCACGAUGCAUAGCCGACCUGAGAGGGUGAUCGGCCACACUGGGACUGAGACACGGCCCAGACUCCUACGGGAGGCAGCAGUAGGGAAUCUUCGGCAAUGGACGAAAGUCUGACCGAGCAACGCCGCGUGAGUGAAGAAGGUUUUCGGAUCGUAAAACUCUGUUGUUAGAGAAGAACAAGGACGUUAGUAACUGAACGUCCCCUGACGGUAUCUAACCAGAAAGCCACGGCUAACUACGUGCCAAUAGUUGUAG
Molecule: ribosomal RNA, 502 nt
Filed under: Enterococcus faecalis
Lineage: Bacteria; Bacillati; Bacillota; Bacilli; Lactobacillales; Enterococcaceae
Description: bacterial SSU rRNA
Rfam family: Bacterial small subunit ribosomal RNA
Source: RNAcentral